Molecule: transfer RNA, 74 nt
Organism: Operophtera brumata (winter moth)
Lineage: Eukaryota; Metazoa; Arthropoda; Insecta; Lepidoptera; Geometridae
Rfam family: tRNA
About the family: Transfer RNA (tRNA) molecules are approximately 80 nucleotides in length.
Source: Rfam
UGUUCUAUGGCCGAACUAGUAAAGGCAUUGCCGAUCACAGGCAAGGAAUGCGGGUUCGAGUCCCGCUGGAACGG